CUAACUUUACAAUUAUAUAGACAUGAGUGUAAUGUUGAUCUAUAAUGCCUCUUGAUGUAUCUUACAGAGAAAACCUGUCCUGCAGGAUGGAAGAUGUUCAGUCAUAACUGUUAUUUCCUCUCUGAUAAGUCUGGUUCUUGGGAUAAAGGCAGAGAGGACUGUAAAGGCAAAGGAGCAGAUCUGUUGGUGAUAAACACCCCUGAAGAGCAGAAGUUUGUCUUAGAGUUUUCCAAGAAAACCAUUUGGAUUGGGUUGAACGACAGAGAUCAGGAGGGUGUCUGGAAAUGGAUAGAUGGAACUCCAUUUACUCUGAAGUACUGGGCGAUAAAUCAGCCUGAUAAUGGUGAUGGGGACCCAAUAUGGGGUGAAGAGGACUGUGUACAAAUCAAUGCUGAUCACAAUCUUGGAACGACCUGUCAUGUCAAACUUCUCUGCAAUGGAUCUGUGAAAAAAUUGCAUAACUCUGAUGGAUAACUUUUUCAAGAUCAUAUAUUUGUAAAUGCUUUUAUGUAAGCUGUUAUGCAAAGCUUUAGUAAUAAGUGCUCUUGUAUGUUUGUAAAACACCUUCACCAAAUUGUAGCUGUAGCUAAAAACCUGCAACCUUGAAAUGCACCUAUAAAUGCCAAACCUUUCACUUUUCUACUAAAAAGGAUC
Micropterus salmoides (largemouth bass) is the source of this 654-nucleotide long non-coding RNA. RefSeq lists it as uncharacterized. The record is from RefSeq and is a predicted model, not a curated record. NCBI's taxonomy places the organism in Eukaryota, Metazoa, Chordata, Actinopteri, Centrarchiformes, Centrarchidae. The transcript has 3 exons.